This 466-nucleotide ribosomal RNA is filed under the name uncultured bacterium. RNAcentral's name for it is "bacterial SSU rRNA". It matches the Rfam family "Bacterial small subunit ribosomal RNA", at positions 329 to 793 of the family's 1533-position model. The record is from RNAcentral.
UUCCAGACUCCUACGGGAGGCAGCAGUGAGGAAUAUUGGUCAAUGGGCGGGAGCCUGAACCAGCCAAGCCGCGUGAGGGAAGAAGGUCCAGCGUAUCGUAAACCUCUUUUGUCAGGGAACAAAGGCGGGGACUAGUCCCCGGAUGAGGGUACCUGAAGAAAAAGCAUCGGCUAACUCCGUGCCAGCAGCCGCGGUAAUACGGAGGAUGCGAGCGUUAUCCGGAUUUAUUGGGUUUAAAGGGUGCGCAGGCGGUCUGUUAAGUCAGCGGUCAAAGCCCGGGGCUCAACCCCGGUCCGCCGUUGAAACUGGCAGUCUCGAGUUGGAGAGAAGUAUGCGGAAUGCGCGGUGUAGCGGUGAAAUGCAUAGAUAUCACGCAGAACUCCGAUUGCGAAGGCAGCGCACCGGCGCCCUACUGACGCUCAGGCACGAAAGCGUGGGUAUCGAACAGGAUUAGAUACCCUCGUAC